Molecule: ribosomal RNA, 507 nt
Filed under: uncultured bacterium
Lineage: Bacteria
Description: bacterial SSU rRNA
Rfam family: Bacterial small subunit ribosomal RNA
Source: RNAcentral
CCCUUAGAGUUUGAUCCUGGCUCAGAUUGAACGCUGGCGGCAGGCCUAACACAUGCAAGUCGAGCGGUAGAGAGAAGCUUGCUUCUCUUGAGAGCGGCGGACGGGUGAGUAAUGCCUAGGAAUCUGCCUGGUAGUGGGGGAUAACGUUCGGAAACGGACGCUAAUACCGCAUACGUCCUACGGGAGAAAGCAGGGGACCUUCGGGCCUUGCGCUAUCAGAUGAGCCUAGGUCGGAUUAGCUAGUUGGUGAGGUAAUGGCUCACCAAGGCGACGAUCCGUAACUGGUCUGAGAGGAUGAUCAGUCACACUGGAACUGAGACACGGUCCAGACUCCUACGGGAGGCAGCAGUGGGGAAUAUUGGACAAUGGGCGAAAGCCUGAUCCAGCCAUGCCGCGUGUGUGAAGAAGGUCUUCGGAUUGUAAGGCACUUUAAGUUGGGAGGAAGGGUUGUAGAUUAAUACUCUGCAAUUUUGACGUUACCGACAGAAAAGCACCGGCUAUAGUUUU